Molecule: long non-coding RNA, 2803 nt
Organism: Salmo salar (Atlantic salmon)
Lineage: Eukaryota; Metazoa; Chordata; Actinopteri; Salmoniformes; Salmonidae
Source: RefSeq, a predicted model, not a curated record
CGAAAGACCCUGCUCUUAAUUAGUGACGAUGGCAGAGAGAACUAAACGUUCAAAAGUGUGGUUACAAUUCACCAGAGUCGAUGCUGACAAUGCUCAUUGCCACAAGUGCAACAAGACUUUUGCUAGUAAGGGCGGAAACAGGAGCAAUCUGUCCAAACAUCUAUCGAAAGUGCAUCAUGUACAGGCAGAGAAAUGCAGUUUUCGACUGCCUAGCUCGUAGUUCAUCUCUCGUUGUCCGAUCUAUGUUAGGUAUGCUAGCAGCCUAGAUCCCACACACAGAGUUAACUUAAUUAUGCGAACAUGGGUUCAUGAUCAAAAGGAACCAUUAGCCAGCUGAUUGUUUAGCUGUGGGUGCGUUCAUAAAUUCAAUCACCCAUUUAAAGAUUUUGCAACUUUUUUGUUAAAGUUGCAGCUACAAUGAACUGACCCACUCCUCCCUCUAAUAACGCUGGUCCAAGCCAAAGACAAGCCCAAAGCCCCUUCAUGCUGGCAGCUAGUGGGAGGAUGACUGAGGAGAGGGUGAAUGAGUGCCACCUAGACGUGACCAAGUUCAUAGUGAAAGGCCUACACCCCUUUGCAACAGUGGAGUCCAAGGGCUUUAGGGAGAUGACCAAGUCACUCAACCCCAAAUAUACCCCUCCCUCCAGGAGUUACCUCAGUGACACAUUCAUUCCUACCUGGUGUGGUGUAGAAAAGGCCAAUGUGAUCACUGAGCUGAAGGACGUGCCAAAGCUGGCCAUCACAUCAGAUGGGUGGACCAGCCUCUGUCAGGACCACUAUCUCACUGCUACAGUGCACUUCACAAGCCAGGGCAGUGUAAAACAGAAGGUCAUCCACACCAGAAGGUCCUCCACACAAUCUACAAAAUGACUUCCAUUGAUAAAUGGGCAGCCCGAAUCAGAGCAGUGGUCAUGUGGUUCAAGAGAUCCUCGAUGCCCAAAACAGUCUUGAAGGAAAAGCAGCAGCUCCUUGGCCUUCCGCAACACUCACUCAUCCUUGAUGCCAAGACCAGAUGGAACUCUAUCUAAUGAUAGAGAGAUUCAUGGAGGAGUAUCCAGCGAUCCAAGCAGCAACAUUGGACCCACGACUGCGAAAAGCAAUGACCAAAGACAACCUGAACCGUCUGAAGGAUGAGGACUUCCAUAAGGCUGUGGAGUUUGUCCAGCUCAUGAGAAUCCUCUAUACAUCCACACUGUGUGUGUCAUGUGACAAGAAUGCCACCUGUGGACAGAUCGUACCCAUCCUCCAAUAAUUGGAAAAGCACUUCACUGUGAAGCAUGACGAUACGUUUGUGGCAACCAUCAAAGAGAAGGUGUGGGAGAACCUCUCCGAGCGCUAUCAGGAUGAGGACAUUCAGGCCUUCCUGCAUGAGGCCACAGCAAUGGACCCCAGAUUUAAAGGGAGGCCGGUGAGUGACGACACCUGGGACGGGCUGAGGAAGGCAACUGUUGAGGCCAAUGUGACAGGAGCAACACCAGGGCUGUCAGAGGAGCCGGAGCAGACAGACACAGAGCACCAGCAACAGGAGGAGGAGUCUGACGGAGAAGGAGAGGAAAUGGAGGAGACAGUCCCUCCAUUGUACAAAACAAGGAGAUCCUUGGAGGAGCUGUUCUCAGAGGAGGACAGGGAGUUGAGGUUGACGAUCCAACAGGAGACCUCGUCCCUCACCUUCAGUGAGCAUGUUGACCUAGAGGUCGAGCUCUACAAAGGCCUGCCUCCCAUCCCCAUGGCUGAAGAUCCUGUGACGUGGUGGUGGGAGAAGAGCUACUCUGCCCCUCCUCACAAACAUUGUAACAAGCUACCUCUGUGCUCAAGACUCCUCAACCCCUAGCGAGAGGGUAUUUUCGACUGCAGCGAACACAAUAAGCCAGGAGAGGUCCCGACUUCUGCCAGAGAAGGGAAUAUGUUGAUCUUUCUCCAGAAGAACUGCUAAGAACUAUUAGUCCUUUUGCAGCCUACCUGCAUUCCCCUGCUCUAUACCACUGUAUAUUCUUUUGCAGGAAAAUAUUGUUUAUUUAAUUUGUUUUACAUUUCCAUCAUCACAGCAUUAGAGUCUAUAAAAGUGAUUUGUUCAAAACAUUGCUGUUUCUUUUGCUGUAAAUAAUUGUUUAUUUUAUUUAUUUUAUAUUUCAGAAAAUAAAGCAAUGUUAAUUCUGUUCUUAAUUUGUUUAAUUUUUUCCCGUAAAAAAUAAAUAAAAAAAAUAACUGUUAAGUAUACCAUUAAAGUACCAGAUCAUUAAGCAGUAUCGGUAAGAGUAGUAAUACCGUUAAAAUCUUAACGAUACCCACCCCUAGUCAAGAAGCAGUGUGGCUUGGUUGGGUCAUGUUUCGGAGGACGCAUGACUCUCGACCUUCGCCUCUCCCGAGUCCGUACGGGAGUUUCAGCGAUGAGACAAGACUGUAACUACCAAUUGGAUACCACGAAAUUGGGGAGAAAAGGGAGUAAAAUAAAAUGUUUAAUAUGUUUUUACAAAUCUAGAUUUUUUUUAUUUAUAUAUUUGUUUUAUAAAAAAUUAACACCAUUCUCCAUGAACUUUCAUUUGCAACUUGAGAAAGAGCUAGGUAAAUGAGUAAUCCGUUUGGAUAAGAGAAUUGUAAAUACAAAUGACACUUGUUUUAGAUAUAUAGUGCUUUCAGAAAGUAUUCAUGCCCCUCGACAUAUUCAACAUUUUUUACAUUACAGUCUGAAUUCAGAAUAGAUUCGAUUUUUUUCUUACACAUUUGCACACAGUUUUGCCUGCCUGUUUUGCAUGUUAUUUUGGCAUUAAUACGUGUCACAUAUUAGGUUGCAAACAAUGUAAAA